UUUACCAAAAACAUCGCCUCUUGGAACCCAUAAGAGGUCCAGCCUGCCCAGUGACCCUGUUCAACGGCCGCGGUAUCCUAACCGUGCGAAGGUAGCGUAAUCACUUGUUCUUUAAAUGAGGACUAGUAUGAAUGGCACCACGAAGGUUAUACUGUCUCCUUCCUCUAAUCAGUGAAACUAAUCUCCCCGUGAAGAAGCGGGGAUAAGCCUAUAAGACGAGAAGACCCUAUGGAGCUUUAAACNCNGUAAUAAAUGCCCCCCCCCCCUUUUUUCUAUUCAAAUCUCCGGANNACUACUUUAUCUGAGCAUCCUAUUUACAAGUUUUAGGUUGGGGUGACCGCGGAGUAAAAAAUAACCUCCACAGUGAAUGGAAUCUUUUUCCUAAACUCAGGGCCACAACCCUAAAAAUCAAUAAAUUGACACCCAUUGACCCAAUAUUUUGAUCAAUGAACCAAGUUACCCUAGGGAUAACAGCGCAAUCCACUUCAAGAGCUCCUAUCGACAAGUGGGUUUACGACCUCGAUGUUGGAUCAGGGUACCCCAGUGGUGCAGCCGCUGCUAAAGGUUCGUUUNUUCNNCGAUUNAANNCNUACGUGAUNUGAGUUCAGACCGGAGUAAUCCAGGUCAGUUUCUAUCUAUAAAGAGUUUCUUCUAGUACGAAAGGACCGAAAAAACAUGGCCAAUGCCACCUGUAAGCCAUACAACCUAUUUAUGACACAGCCUCAAUAAAAAAUAUGUCCCUAAAACAGCUUAAGAAAAGAGCA
Molecule: ribosomal RNA, 764 nt
Filed under: Leptodactylus wagneri (Wagner's white-lipped frog)
Lineage: Eukaryota; Metazoa; Chordata; Amphibia; Anura; Leptodactylidae
Description: partial large subunit ribosomal RNA
Rfam family: Bacterial large subunit ribosomal RNA
Source: RNAcentral